GCAUAUCCAAUAAGCGGAGGAAAAGAAACCAACAGGGAUUGCCCUAGUAACGGCGAGUGAAGCGGCAACAGCUCAAAUUUGAAAUCUGGCUUUCGGGCCCGAGUUGUAAUUUGUAGAGGAUGAUUUUGAUGCGGUGCCUUCCGAGUUCCCUGGAACGGGACGCCAUAGAGGGUGAGAGCCCCGUCUGGUUGGAUGCCAAAUCUCUGUAAAUCUCCUUCGACGAGUCGAGUAGUUUGGGAAUGCUGCUCUAAAUGGGAGGUAUAUGUCUUCUAAAGCUAAAUACCGGCCAGAGACCGAUAGCGCACAAGUAGAGUGAUCGAAAGAUGAAAAGCACUUUGAAAAGAGAGUUAAAAAGUACGUGAAAUUGUUGAAAGGGAAGCGUUUAUGACCAGACUUGGGCUUGGUUAAUCAUCUGGGGUUCUCUCCAGUGCACUUUUCCAGUCCAGGCCAGCAUCAGUUUUCGCCGGGGGAUAAAGGCUUCGGGAAUGUGGCUCCCCUCGGGGAGUGUUAUAGCCCGUUGUGUAAUACCCUGGUGGGGACUGAGGUUCGCGCUUCUGCAAGGAUGCUGGCGUAAUGGUCAUCAACGACCCGUCUUGAAACACGGACCAAGGAGUCGUCUUCGUAUGCGAGUGUUCGGGUGUCAAACCCCUACGCGUAAUGAAAGUGAACGCAGGUGAGAGCUUCGGCGCAUCAUCGACCGAUCCUGAUGUUCUCGGAUGGAUUUGAGUAAGAGCAUACGGGGCCGGACCCGAAAGAAGGUGAACUAUGCCUGUGUAGGGUGAAGCCAGAGGAAACUCUGGUGGAGGCUCGCAGCGGUUCUGACGUGCAAAUCGAUCGUCAAACAUGGGCAUGGGGGCGAAAGACUAAUCGAAACCUUUCUAGUAGCUGGGUUUCCGCCGAG
Molecule: ribosomal RNA, 901 nt
Filed under: Fusarium graminearum
Lineage: Eukaryota; Fungi; Ascomycota; Sordariomycetes; Hypocreales; Nectriaceae
Description: LSU rRNA
Rfam family: Eukaryotic large subunit ribosomal RNA
Source: RNAcentral